This 247-nucleotide ribosomal RNA is filed under the name uncultured archaeon. RNAcentral describes it as "partial 16S ribosomal RNA". It matches the Rfam family "Archaeal small subunit ribosomal RNA", at positions 691 to 937 of the family's 1478-position model. The record is from RNAcentral.
CCGACGGUGAGGGGUGAAAGCUGGGGGAGCAAACCGGAUUAGAUACCCGGGUAGUCCCAGCUGUAAACGAUGCGCGUUAGGUGUGUCAGUGACCACGUGUCACUGAUGUGCCGAAGGGAAACCGUGAAACGCGCCGCCUGGGGAGUACGGUCGCAAGGCUGAAACUUAAAGGAAUUGGCGGGGGAGCACCACAACGGGUGGAGCCUGCUGUUUAAUCGGACUCAACGCCGGAAAUCUCACCGGAUAA